This 31-nucleotide ribosomal RNA is filed under the name Tulasnella sp. 252. RNAcentral describes it as "partial 18S ribosomal RNA". Lineage: Eukaryota; Fungi; Basidiomycota; Agaricomycetes; Cantharellales; Tulasnellaceae. The record is from RNAcentral.
UUUCCGUAGGUGAACCUGCGGAGGAUCAUAG